Molecule: transfer RNA, 83 nt
Filed under: Pseudomonadota bacterium
Lineage: Bacteria; Pseudomonadati; Pseudomonadota
Also listed under: 2 other names
Description: tRNA-Ser
Rfam family: tRNA
About the family: Transfer RNA (tRNA) molecules are approximately 80 nucleotides in length.
Source: RNAcentral
GGAAGGUUGUCCGAGUGGUCUAUGGAGGCGGUCUUGAAAACCGUUGGGUGAAAGCCCCGGGGGUUCGAAUCCCUCACCUUCCG